RNAcentral lists this ribosomal RNA (227 nucleotides) under uncultured bacterium. RNAcentral describes it as "partial 16S ribosomal RNA". It matches the Rfam family "Bacterial small subunit ribosomal RNA", at positions 109 to 334 of the family's 1533-position model. The record is from RNAcentral.
AGUAACGCGUGAGGAACCUGCCUCAAAGAGGGGGACGACAGUUGGAAACGACUGCUAAUACCGCAUAAGCCCACGGCUCGGCAUCGAGCAGAGGGAAAAGGAGCAAUCCGCUUUGAGAUGGCCUCGCGUCCGAUUAGCUAGUUGGUGAGGUAAUGGCCCACCAAGGCGACGAUCGGUAGCCGGACUGAGAGGUUGAACGGCCACAUUGGGACUGAGACACGGCCCAG